CCUACGGGAGGCAGCAGUGAGGAAUAUUGGUCAAUGGACGAGAGUCUGAACCAGCCAAGUAGCGUGAAGGAUGACUGCCCUAUGGGUUGUAAACUUCUUUUAUAUGGGAAUAAAAUGUUCCACGUGUGGGAUUUUGUAUGUACCAUAUGAAUAAGGAUCGGCUAACUCCGUGCCAGCAGCCGCGGUAAUACGGAGGAUCCGAGCGUUAUCCGGAUUUAUUGGGUUUAAAGGGAGCGUAGGUGGAUUGUUAAGUCAGUUGUGAAAGUUUGCGGCUCAACCGUAAAAUUGCAGUUGAAACUGGCAGUCUUGAGUACAGUAGAGGUGGGCGGAAUUCGUGGUGUAGCGGUGAAAUGAUUAGAUAUCACGAAGAACUCCGAUUGCGAAGGCAGUUCACUGGACUGCAACUGACACUGAGGCUCGAAAGUGUGGGUAUCAAACAGGAUUAGAUACCCCAGUAGUC
This 460-nucleotide ribosomal RNA is filed under the name uncultured bacterium. Its description in RNAcentral is "partial 16S ribosomal RNA". It matches the Rfam family "Bacterial small subunit ribosomal RNA", at positions 338 to 795 of the family's 1533-position model. The record is from RNAcentral.